RNAcentral lists this ribosomal RNA (496 nucleotides) under uncultured bacterium. RNAcentral's name for it is "partial 16S ribosomal RNA". It matches the Rfam family "Bacterial small subunit ribosomal RNA", at positions 29 to 507 of the family's 1533-position model. The record is from RNAcentral.
AUGAACGCUGGCGGCGUGCCUAAUACAUGCAAGUCGAGCGAACAGAUGAGGAGCUUGCUCCUCUGACGUUAGCGGCGGACGGGUGAGUAACACGUGGAUAACCUACCUAUAAGACUGGGAUAACUUCGGGAAACCGGAGCUAAUACCGGAUAAUAUAUUGAACCGCAUGGUUCAAUAGUGAAAGACGGUUUUGCUGUCACGUAUAGAUGGAUCCGCGCCGCAUUAGCUAGUUGGUAAGGUAACGGCUUACCAAGGCAACGAUGCGUAGCCGACCUGAGAGGGUGAUCGGCCACACUGGAACUGAGACACGGUCCAGACUCCUACGGGAGGCAGCAGUAGGGAAUCUUCCGCAAUGGGCGAAAGCCUGACGGAGCAACGCCGCGUGAGUGAUGAAGGUCUUCGGAUCGUAAAACUCUGUUAUUAGGGAAGAACAAAUGUGUAAGUAACUAUGCACGUCUUGACGGUACCUAAUCAGAAAGCCACGGCUAACUACGUG